GACGAACGCUGGCGGCGUGCUUAACACAUGCAAGUCGAACGAUGAACCCGGAGCUUGCUCUGGGGGAUUAGUGGCGAACGGGUGAGUAACACGUGAGUAACCUGCCCUGGACUCUGGGAUAAGCGUUGGAAACGACGUCUAAUACCGGAUAGGACCUUGGAUCGCAUGAUCUGGGGUAGAAAGUUUUUUCGGUCUGGGAUGGACUCGCGGCCUAUCAGCUUGUUGGUGAGGUAAUGGCUCACCAAGGCGUCGACGGGUAGCCGGCCUGAGAGGGUGACCGGCCACACUGGGACUGAGACACGGCCCAGACUCCUACGGGAGGCAGCAGUGGGGAAUAUUGCACAAUGGGCGAAAGCCUGAUGCAGCAACGCCGCGUGCGGGAUGACGGCCUUCGGGUUGUAAACCGCUUUUAGUAGGGAAGAAGGGCUUCGGCUUGACGGUACCUGCAGAAAAAGGACCGGCUAACUACGUG
This 472-nucleotide ribosomal RNA is filed under the name uncultured bacterium. Its description in RNAcentral is "partial 16S ribosomal RNA". It matches the Rfam family "Bacterial small subunit ribosomal RNA", at positions 28 to 507 of the family's 1533-position model. The record is from RNAcentral.